AUAAAGUUUGAUUCUUGCUUUAAUCUCUGUUAUAGGGACAAUUUCACAUGUAAGGAAGUCCGAAAUAAUUUUUAAGUAAAACUUAAUUUCUAGGGUCUCAGUGUGUGGUACUGGAUAUAAAUUAAAUUUUGAGCCGGUGAUUCUUGUGUUUCAGGCUAAAUUUGUGCCAGCAGCCGCGGUUAGACUGAAAGAAAAAAUGGAGAUAAGAAGUGUGUGAUUAUAAAAAAAAAUUAUAAAUUUUAUUGUUAUGAAAUUAAGGAGUGAAAUCUAUAUUUUGAGGGUGGCGGUUUAAGGCAUAAAUUAAUUUUAAAUUUACUAAAUUUUAGGUGUAAACCAGGAUUAGAUACCCUGCUAUACUAAAUAGAAAUGAAAUUUUGCUAGAGUAGUAAUAAGUUAUGAGCUCGAAACUUAAAGAAUUUGGCGGUAUUUAAGUCUAGUUAGAGGAACCUGCUCUGUAAACGAUAUGCCACGAAUAAUCUUACUUUGUUUUGUUUUCAGUUUGUAUACCUCCAUUAUAAGUUAUAUUUUGAAAAAUUUUCUAAGAUAGAGUUUAUCUAAUAUAUUAGGUCAAGGUGCAGCUAAUAAUAAAGUAGUUGUGGGUUACAGUGCAUUAUAUGUCUGCGGAUAAAAAUUAGAAGUUAUUUUUUGAAGUUGGAUUUAAUUGUAUUUUUAGAAUAAUAAGCUAAAAUGAUAAUAGCUCUAAAAUAUGUACACAUCGCCCGUCGCUCUCAUUAUAAAGUGAGAUAAGUCGUAACAUAGUGGUUGUAUUGGAAAAUGUAACUAGAAAUAU
RNAcentral lists this non-coding RNA (790 nucleotides) under Palaemon sinensis. The record is from RNAcentral. Lineage: Eukaryota; Metazoa; Arthropoda; Malacostraca; Decapoda; Palaemonidae.